This 450-nucleotide ribosomal RNA is filed under the name uncultured bacterium. RNAcentral's name for it is "bacterial SSU rRNA". It matches the Rfam family "Bacterial small subunit ribosomal RNA", at positions 29 to 524 of the family's 1533-position model. The record is from RNAcentral.
AACGAACGCUGGCGGCAUGCCUAACACAUGCAAGUCGAACGAGACCUUCGGGUCUAGUGGCGCACGGGUGCGUAACGCGUGGGAAUCUGCCCUUGGGUCCGGAAUAACUCAGAGAAAUUUGAGCUAAUACCGGAUGAUGACGUAAGUCCAAAGAUUUAUCGCCCAGGGAUGAGCCCGCGUAGGAUUAGCUAGUUGGUGAGGUAAAGGCUCACCAAGGCGACGAUCCUUAGCNGGUCUGAGAGGAUGACCAGCCACACUGGGACUGAGACACGGCCCAGACUCCUACGGGAGGCAGCAGUGGGGAAUAUUGGACAAUGGGCGAAAGCCUGAUCCAGCAAUGCCGCGUGAGUGAUGAAGGCCUUAGGGUUGUAAAGCUCUUUUACCCGGGAUGAUAAUGACAGUACCGGGAGAAUAAGCCCCGGCUAACUCCGUGCCAGCCGCCGCCGUAAG